This 253-nucleotide ribosomal RNA is filed under the name uncultured bacterium. Its description in RNAcentral is "partial 16S ribosomal RNA". It matches the Rfam family "Bacterial small subunit ribosomal RNA", at positions 524 to 776 of the family's 1533-position model. The record is from RNAcentral.
UACGUAGGUGGCGAGCGUUGUCCGGAAUUACUGGGUGUAAAGGGCGUGUAGGCGGGAGAGCAAGUCAGAUGUGAAAUUCCAUGGCUUAACUGUGGGGCUGCAUCUGAAACUGCACUUCUUGAGUACUGGAGAGGAAAGUGGAAUUCCUAGUGUAGCGGUGAAAUGCGUAGAUAUUAGGAGGAACACCAGUGGCGAAGGCGACUUUCUGGACAGAAACUGACGCUGAGGCGCGAAAGCGUGGGGAGCAAACAGG